GAUGAACGCUGGCGGCGUGCCUAAUACAUGCAAGUCGAGCGAACAGAUGAGGAGCUUGCUCCUCUGACGUUAGCGGCGGACGGGUGAGUAACACGUGGAUAACCUACCUAUAAGACUGGGAUAACUUCGGGACACCGGAGCUAAUACCGGAUAAUAUAUUGAACCGCAUGGUUCAAUAGUGAAAGACGGUUUUGCUGUCACUUAUAGAUGGAUCCGCGCCGCAUUAGCUAGUUGGUAAGGUAACGGCUUACCAAGGCAACGAUGCGUAGCCGACCGGAGAGGGUGAUAGGCCACACUGGAACUGAGACACGGUCCAGACUCCUACGGGAGGCAGCAGUAGGGAAUCUGCCGCAAUGGGCGAAAGCCUGACGGAGCAACGCCGCGUGAGUGAUGAAGGUCUUCGGAUCGUAAAACUCUGUUAUUAGGGAAGAACAAAUGUGUAAGUAACUAUGCACGUCUUGACGGUACCUAAUCAGAAAGCCACGGCUAACUACGUG
RNAcentral lists this ribosomal RNA (497 nucleotides) under uncultured bacterium. Its description in RNAcentral is "partial 16S ribosomal RNA". It matches the Rfam family "Bacterial small subunit ribosomal RNA", at positions 28 to 507 of the family's 1533-position model. The record is from RNAcentral.